UAGCUUCAACUUACUUAUUCUUGUAUGAAGUGUUUAAUUAUGAAAAUAUAUGAUUUUAUUAACAUUGAUGUUUAAUGUCCCAUUUGUUGUAUGAUUGCAUCUGUCUGUAUAUAUAGAUGAAGGUUGGUGAUUAUUAUCAACUAGUACUGUAAUGCUGGUUGUGAAAUUAUUCUAAGUUUAUCGAUGAAUUAGUAACCUUUCUAUUCAAAGUAGUUCUAUGUAGUUGUAGUCGGCUUAUUGAUAAGAUCACUUUAAUUCAUCACAAUUAGCUCAACUGUGCCAUAUGCUAAAGAUUGUCUAUUUGGGAAACAUCCAAUCGCUAACUAACGCCGAGAGGGUCGUUUACUUGUUCUUGAUUUAGGGGUUGAUUCACUUUUCAGGUUUGGGAUGGCCAAUGUGUAUGUUUCCAAAUCUGUUCUUUUAUAAUGUGAACAGAAAUUCAUCAAAUAUGUAAGUUAUUUGUAUACAGAUCUAUAAUGUGUUUAUAGAUUAUGCAUUCUGUUAAGUUGAAGUGAAUCACUAGAUUUUGAGUUAGGAAUCUGUAAAUAUCUAAGGGCUGUUGCUAGAGGUGAUGAUUGACUUGGUGCACAUGUAUAUAUCUUUUAUGAAUGGGAUCAAAUCAGUAAGGUAGUGCAGAUUCAUUAUUUCCUCUUGGAGGGUGCACUGAGUGGUUGAUGCAAGAGUCUUUUGGAAAACUAUGCUGAUAAUAGUCGUUUGGAGAGGUUGAGCACUUUAAAUUGUUUUGACAAAUGAAGUUCAUUUUUCUCUCAUCUAUUUUAAUUUGGGUUGUUCGAAGCUGGCAGGGCAAAUGAAUGGAUUGGGACUGAGAAGCUUGGCGAUUCUCAGAAAGCCAAGGCGCAUGCUAAAGAGAAACCAGGCAGUUUUAAAACUGCAGUACGGAAAUUGCGUUCCAAGAUACUAGACAGAAUGAACUUGUUGGAGUUGGGAAUUGGAGUAUUCCUCUUCUGAAGUCUGCACCAACGAAACAGAGUGAGUCUUCAUCAGAGUAGAUCUGUUUCGUUUGUUUGGGUUUGAUAGGAUGACUUUGGAAAGGUUGAAGAUUGAAAAUUUGUAUAUUGAAGAAGAAAUGAUUUCUUUCUAAUGUAUUAGAUAGAUUUUUUUAUUAUUAUUUAUUUAAGUAAGGUUGUAAAUUAUUCACAAAUUUUGAUUUAUCAUUUCUAUUUAUAUUGUGUAAUUACUUUUAUUACAUAUAAUAAUAAUUAUAAUUUUUCCUCUAAA
Molecule: long non-coding RNA, 1239 nt
Organism: Beta vulgaris subsp. vulgaris (sugar beet)
Lineage: Eukaryota; Viridiplantae; Streptophyta; Magnoliopsida; Caryophyllales; Amaranthaceae
Exons: 3
Source: RefSeq, a predicted model, not a curated record